GCAGAAAUGGCGGAAAGCGGGAAACAGUGUCAGCAAUGGAAGGAGCUCUGACUUAAACAUGGCGGUCCAAAGUGGAGGAUGCUGCGAAGCUGCUGACAUUGAAAUCGAUCUCUGUCAACACGCUGCCAUGCCUGAUACCACGAGGGACACUGAUAACCGGAGCUGGUGUGAAGACCUGCA
Plectropomus leopardus (leopard coralgrouper) is the source of this 180-nucleotide non-coding RNA. The record is from RefSeq and is a predicted model, not a curated record. Lineage: Eukaryota; Metazoa; Chordata; Actinopteri; Perciformes; Serranidae.